UACUGGUUAACGGGUGAGACAGGUAUCUCCACAUGUAUGCUUGAAAUUUCCAUAGCCUUGUUUCUCCUUCAAUCACUUAUUGUAUACAUGCACGAAAAUUGACUAAUAUUUGACCACAAGGCAUCUAAAAUAGUUAUGACAGAAGUUAACAAUUGUGUCAAAUCUAAUUGUUGCCCAUAUCUGAGGAUCUGAGGACCAGUAAAAUGUGAUGUGAUUGUGAGACCUGUGAUAUAAGUCUCUUUAUCUUUUCCCCUUUGACCUUGUGAAUUUCAAAUGCUGGGUUGUUCUAAAGUGCUUCUUUCUUAUACUAAUAUUCGUUUGUCUUUGUUCCAGG
This 334-nucleotide unclassified non-coding RNA is filed under the name Hevea brasiliensis (rubber tree). The record is from RNAcentral. Lineage: Eukaryota; Viridiplantae; Streptophyta; Magnoliopsida; Malpighiales; Euphorbiaceae.